UCCUUCUGUCUGCUGAACACCCACCUUCUGAGGACUGCCCGUCGUCUGAAAUCUGCAGGUGCAACUCCCUCGACUUGGCAUUCAGCUCACUGCGGAAAGAAGGGCUAUGGAGCGGAGAGAGCCGCACGCCAUACAGCGAGCGCCCCGUGUCCUCAGACGAGGGUGGCCCCGCGCUGACCAGGAACUGGAUUGUCUCGCCCAGCACUCGACAAAACACCACCUGGAGGAGGGAGCAGAGAACACGCGAACUUCACGCCAGAGAGAGGAGAGCGUGCGCCUUGCCCAUCUUCAUUUCACUGAACAAAACAGCCUGGACUCUCUAGAUCAGCAAGCAUGAGAACUCAGUCUCAAAUGUGGGUGAAUAUCUAGAUGCAUAUUUUCUAUUACCCCAGAGCUUAAAAACUAGAAACAAUACUUCAAAUCUUUUCUUUCUGAUGUAUUCUCAGCACUUGCCCAAAUCUAGUUAGAAUCUUUCCACACAAUUUUUUUUUCCUUUAAAUAUUUCUUUUUUCUA
This is a non-coding RNA of Odocoileus virginianus texanus, 514 nucleotides long. NCBI's taxonomy places the organism in Eukaryota, Metazoa, Chordata, Mammalia, Artiodactyla, Cervidae. The record is from RefSeq and is a predicted model, not a curated record.